AUGACGAAUGCCGAUGGAACUACAGGCUGUUCACCUCCAGGUCGCGGGUUCGAAUCCCGUCGGGUCCGCCACUAUGGACCCGUAGCUCAGCGGAUAGAGCGGGACGUUUCGUCAAACCUUGUCGUCAUGCC
This is a non-coding RNA of Mesorhizobium amorphae CCNWGS0123, 131 nucleotides long. NCBI's taxonomy places the organism in Bacteria, Pseudomonadati, Pseudomonadota, Alphaproteobacteria, Hyphomicrobiales, Phyllobacteriaceae. The record is from Rfam.